Molecule: long non-coding RNA, 1101 nt
Organism: Rosa rugosa (rugosa rose)
Lineage: Eukaryota; Viridiplantae; Streptophyta; Magnoliopsida; Rosales; Rosaceae
Exons: 6
Source: RefSeq, a predicted model, not a curated record
UUUUUUAAUUAUGCAAAUAGAGUGCCAACUUGUUUCAUUUUGUCUAAAAUGCUUGGAUUUGAAUCCACCCUUAAUUGAUAUGUAGAACUACAAUGGUUGGAGAGUGAACCUAAUGUGACAAUCCUGUGUAAAGAUUGCAUUGAUGGGUUUCCUGGUUUGAUUGAGAAAGACGGUUCUAAUGUGUUUGUAAAUUGGGUUAAGAGCAAUCAGAUCAAAACUGUUACAAGCAAUAAUCCAGGUUGCCAUUAACGUCGUCUUUGUUGCCGCUGUUCACUCAGAAGGGACUAAUUAUUGGGUGUUUUCCGCGCAGACGUCCAUUUUGGGAAAGCUUAGUAAUUCUGCUCGUCAUAGUGUUUUAUGCAUUCCAAGGAAGCCAGUUGGGAUAUCAUGGUGUAAUGUUGAUGCCAAAGAGGAGUUUGUCAGACCUUAUAAUGAUGUUAGAUUGCAUAACCAGCAUAAAUCGUCCAGGCAUACAGUUGUACAAUGUGGACUUGUUGAAACUGGAACCCUUGAUGAAGCCUUACCAGGUUUCUCUAUUGAGACUUUUCUGUGUUUACCCUUCUUAUUAGCCUUAUAAAUCUAACUGACUUAUUCGUUGUUAAUUUUUAAAUUGCAGAAGUAAAUAUGGUCUAAGAAGUUAGGGGGCUGUGCUUUUAAUGACAUUUCUCUUUGCACUUAUGGUACAGUUCCUUCCAAGAAUUUUGUUCAUCAUGUAGUUCCAAAGGUCCUAGUUCCUGCUUGCAGAAGUCACAGGAUAUUGAAAAUUCAACAUUAUUUUCAUCAGAAGGGUUAAAAUGUGACCUAUGUUGAGAAAGUCUCAUGCAUCAACAUCGGGGCAGCAAUGGUGGUGUUUGGAUCAAUGAAGAAGCAGAGAUAAAUGAUGUCCUUAUAGCUUUUGGCAGGAUACAAUUUGGAUGUAAAUAUGAUGCCUUGAAAUUUCAAAUGCAUCCGGCACCUGAUAUGUAACUUUUCAAGUUAUUAUAUUUGUAAAGUAAUGGCUAAUAAGCAUGUUAACAUAUAUUUAUGCUACUUAUUUACCUAUUACUUCUUGUUGCAAAGUGUUGAUAACAUAUAUUUAUUAAUUUAAAAUUAAUUUUCAUA